Molecule: ribosomal RNA, 428 nt
Filed under: uncultured bacterium
Lineage: Bacteria
Description: partial 16S ribosomal RNA
Rfam family: Bacterial small subunit ribosomal RNA
Source: RNAcentral
CCUACGGGUGGCUGCAGUGGGGAAUAUUGCACAAUGGGCGCAAGCCUGAUGCAGCCAUGCCGCGUGUAUGAAGAAGGCCUUCGGGUUGUAAAGUACUUUCAGCGAGGAGGCGUUACUCGCAGAAGAAGCACCGGCUAACUCCGUGCCAGCAGCCCGGUAAUACGGAGGGUGCAAGCGUUAAUCGGAAUUACGGGCGUAAAGCGCACGCAGGCGGUCUGUAAGUCGGAUGUGAAAUCCCCGGGCUCAACCUGGGAACUGCAUUCGAAACUGCAGGCUAGAGUCUUGUAGAGGGGGGUAGAAUUCCAGGUGUAGCGGUGAAAUGCGUAGAGAUCUGGAGGAAUACCGGUGGCGAAGGCGGCCCCCUGGACAAAACUGACGCUCAGGUGCGAAAGCGUGGGGAGCAAACAGGAUUAGAUACCCCAGUAGUC